RNAcentral lists this ribosomal RNA (749 nucleotides) under Chicitaea confusa. Its description in RNAcentral is "SSU rRNA". It matches the Rfam family "Bacterial small subunit ribosomal RNA", at positions 369 to 1213 of the family's 1533-position model. Lineage: Eukaryota; Fungi; Ascomycota; Lecanoromycetes; Sarrameanales; Sarrameanaceae. The record is from RNAcentral.
CAAUAGCCUAACGGCUGAACCAGCAACUUGGAGGAAUGUAUAAGUGACUAUGUCCUAUAAAAUUCUAGGUAAAAUAGUGAUGAUGACAUUAUUUACCUAUAUGUCUUGACCAAGUCACGUGCCAGCAGUCGCGGCAACACGUGGAAGACUAGUGUUAUUCAUCUUUAAUGGGUUUAUAGGGUACUUAGACGGUAAAUUAAGCCCCUAAAAAGGGUACUAAUAUACUAGAGUUUUAUGCGAGAGGGGGAGUAAUGUUGGAGUAGAGAUGAAAUAUUUUGAUACCAUCGGGUAACUGGCGACGGCGAAAGCAACCUUUUAUGUAAAAACUGACGUUGAAGGACGAAGGCAAGGUCUACCAACAGGAUUAGAUACCCCAGCAGUCUUAGCAGACAAUGAUGAAUGUCAUAGAUUAGAUAUUGUUUAAUCUAUAAAUGAAAGUGUAAGCAUUCCACCUCAAGAGUAAUUUGGCAACAUUGAAACUGAAAUCAUUAGACCGUUUCUGAAACCAGUAGUGAAGUAUGUUGUUCAAUUUGAUGGCCCGCAAAAAACCUUACCACAAUUUGAAUAUUUUUAUUUUUAUAAAAUUACAAGCGUUGCACGGCUGUCUUUAGUUAAUGUUCUGAGAUGUUGGUUAGCUCCAUCAAUUAACGUAUAACCCUUACUUUUUUUUUUUAAUAAAGUAGUUCGCCAUUAUAUUGGAAUAUGAUAAGAGGGAUUAAGACAAGUUGUCAUGGCCUUAAUAUUGUGGG